This 910-nucleotide ribosomal RNA is filed under the name Colletotrichum gloeosporioides. Its description in RNAcentral is "SSU rRNA". It matches the Rfam family "Eukaryotic small subunit ribosomal RNA", at positions 53 to 967 of the family's 1831-position model. Lineage: Eukaryota; Fungi; Ascomycota; Sordariomycetes; Glomerellales; Glomerellaceae. The record is from RNAcentral.
GCGUCAUGUCUAGUAUAAGCAAUUAUACAGCGAAACUGCGAAUGGCUCAUUAUAUAAGUUAUCGUUUAUUUGAUAGUACCUUACUACUUGGAUAACCGUGGUAAUUCUAGAGCUAAUACAUGCUAAAAAUCCCGACUUACGAAGGGAUGUAUUUAUUAGAUUAAAAACCAAUGCCCUUCGGGGCUCACUGGUGAUUCAUAAUAACUUCUCGAAUCGCAUGGCCUUGCGCCGGCGAUGGUUCAUUCAAAUUUCUUCCCUAUCAACUUUCGAUGCUAGAGUAGUGUUCUAGCAUGGUUACAACGGGUAACGGAGGGUUAGGGCUCGACCCCGGAGAAGGAGCCUGAGAAACGGCUACUACAUCCAAGGAAGGCAGCAGGCGCGCAAAUUACCCAAUCCCGACACGGGGAGGUAGUGACGAUAAAUACUGAUACAGGGCUCUUUUGGGUCUUGUAAUUGGAAUGAGUACAAUUUAAAUCCCUUAACGAGGAACAAUUGGAGGGCAAGUCUGGUGCCAGCAGCCGCGGUAAUUCCAGCUCCAAUAGCGUAUAUUAAAGUUGUUGUGGUUAAAAAGCUCGUAGUAGAACCUUGGGCCUGGCUGGCCGGUCCGCCUCACCGCGUGCACUGGUCCGGCCGGGCCUUUCCCCCUGUGGAACCUCAUGCCCUUCACUGGGUGUGUGGGAGAACAGGACUUUUACUUUGAAAAAAUUAGAGUGCUCCAGGCAGGCCUAUGCUCGAAUACAUUAGCAUGGAAUAAUAGAAUAGGACGUGUGGUUCUAUUUUGUUGGUUUCUAGGACCCGCCGUAAUGAUUAUAGGGACAGUCGGGGGCAUCAGUAUUCAAUUGUCAGAGGUGAAAUUCUUGGAUUUAUUGAAGACUUACCUACCUGCGAAAGCAUUUUGGCCAAAGGGCGU